GUAGGUGGCAAGCGUUGUCCGGAAUGACUGGGCGUAAAGGGAGCGUAGGCGGCGCGGUAAGUUAGGAGUGAAAUCCCGGGGCUCAACCCCGGAACUGCUUUUAAAACUGCCGUGAUUGAGUGAUGGAGAGGAAAGCGGAAUUCCUAGUGUAGCGGUGGAAUGCGUAGAUAUUAGGAGGAACACCAGAGGCGAAGGCGGCUUUCUGGACAUUAACUGACGCUGAGGCUCGAAAGCGUGGGGAGCAAA
This 246-nucleotide ribosomal RNA is filed under the name uncultured bacterium. RNAcentral describes it as "partial 16S ribosomal RNA". It matches the Rfam family "Bacterial small subunit ribosomal RNA", at positions 527 to 772 of the family's 1533-position model. The record is from RNAcentral.